This 447-nucleotide ribosomal RNA is filed under the name uncultured bacterium. RNAcentral's name for it is "bacterial SSU rRNA". It matches the Rfam family "Bacterial small subunit ribosomal RNA", at positions 329 to 793 of the family's 1533-position model. The record is from RNAcentral.
GUCCAGACUCCUACGGGAGGCAGCAGUGGGGAAUAUUGCACAAUGGGGGAAGCCCUGAUGCAGCGACGCCGCGUGAGUGAAGAAGUAUUUCGGUAUGUAAAGCUCUAUCAGCAGGGAAGAUAAUGACGGUACCUGAGUAAGAAGCCCCGGCUAACUACGUGCCAGCAGCCGCGGUAAUACGUAGGGGGCAAGCGUUAUCCGGAUUUACUGGGUGUAAAGGGAGCGUAGACGGCAUGGCAAGUCUGAAGUGAAAGCCCGGGGCUCAACCGCGGGACUGCUUUGGAAACUGUUAAGCUGGAGUGCAGGAGAGGUAAGUGGAAUUCCUAGUGUAGCGGUGAAAUGCGUAGAUAUUAGGAGGAACACCAGUGGCGAAGGCGACUUACUGGACUGUAACUGACGUUGAGGCACGAAAGUGUGGGGAGCAAACAGGAUUAGAUACCCCAGUAC